AGAGUUGAUCCUGGCUCAGGAUGAACGCUGGCGGCGUGCCUAAUACAUGCAAGCGUACGAGGGAAGUCCAGCUUGCUGGACGGAACGAGUGGCGAACGGGUGGGUAAUACGUAAGCAACCUGCCUGCAAGGACUGGGAUAACACCUGGAAACGGGCGCUAAUACCGGAUAGGUAACAAAGGGGCAUCCCUAUGUUAUUAAAGGUUAGAAACACAAGCAGAUGGGCUUACGGUGCAUUAGCUAGUUGGUGAGGUAACGGCCCACCAAGGCGAUGAUGCAUAGCCGGCCUGAGAGGGUGAACGGCCACAUUGGGACUGAGACACGGCCCAGACUCCUACGGGAGGCAGCAGUAGGGAAUUUUCGGCAAUGGACGAAAGUCUGACCGAGCAACGCCGCGUGAGUGAAGAAGGUUUUCGGAUUGUAAAGCUCUGUUGUAAGGGAAGAACAGCACGGAAAGAAUCCGUGAAUGACGGUACCUUACCAGAAAGCCACGGCUAACUACGUGCCAGCAGCUGC
RNAcentral lists this ribosomal RNA (515 nucleotides) under uncultured bacterium. Its description in RNAcentral is "bacterial SSU rRNA". It matches the Rfam family "Bacterial small subunit ribosomal RNA", at positions 8 to 518 of the family's 1533-position model. The record is from RNAcentral.